ACGGCUGCUGAUUUCACACACAGCCAGUCCAACCCUCCAGUUCCAAGUGAAGUCUACCUGUCCUGAGUCCUUGUUCUCCUCAGAUGACCUGUGCACAAACUAGGGAAGCCAACUAGCCUGGCCAACUGGUCAAACACCGAGAGGUCCCAAGUAGAAGGGUAUGAGCCACCCAUACCACUGGCAAUCAGGGUGGCUGACUUGUCAAGCUGCUACUUGUCCCAUGGCCCACUCCUCCAACUUAGUAAUUCUUACGUCCUUUAACUCAUCCAGCAACCAGGUCCGACCAUCUGACAAAAUCCGUUUAUGCUCAGAUGAGCCUAAUCCCUUGGGUCAAAUCAGCAGCUCCUGCCACUGAAAUACCAUUUUAAAAACUAGAAAGUGGGUGCCAAAGAGAGGGACGGUAGAAUCCAACUUGGA
Molecule: long non-coding RNA, 417 nt
Organism: Mastomys coucha (southern multimammate mouse)
Lineage: Eukaryota; Metazoa; Chordata; Mammalia; Rodentia; Muridae
Exons: 3
Source: RefSeq, a predicted model, not a curated record